AUGAACGCUAGCUACAGGCUUAACACAUGCAAGUCGAGGGGCAUCAGGAAGAAAGCUUGCUUUCUUUGCUGGCGACCGGCGCACGGGUGAGUAACACGUAUCCAACCUGCCCUUUACUCGGGGAUAGCCUUUCGAAAGAAAGAUUAAUACCCGAUGGCAUAAUGAUUCCGCAUGGUUUCAUUAUUAAAGGAUUCCGGUAAAGGAUGGGGAUGCGUUCCAUUAGGUUGUUGGUGAGGUAACGGCUCACCAAGCCUUCGAUGGAUAGGGGUUCUGAGAGGAAGGUCCCCCACAUUGGAACUGAGACACGGUCCAAACUCCUACGGGAGGCAGCAGUGAGGAAUAUUGGUCAAUGGGCGCUAGCCUGAACCAGCCAAGUAGCGUGAAGGAUGAAGGCUCUAUGGGUCGUAAACUUCUUUUAUAUAAGAAUAAAGUGCAGUAUGUAUACUGUUUUGUAUGUAUUAUAUGAAUAAGGAUCGGCUAACUCCGUGCCAGCAGCCGCGGUAAUACGGAGGAUCCGAGCGUUAUCCGGAUUUAUUGGGUUUAAAGGGAGCGUAGGUGGACUGGUAAGUCAGUUGUGAAAGUUUGCGGCUCAACCGUAAAAUUGCAGUUGAUACUGUCAGUCUUGAGUACAGUAGAGGUGGGCGGAAUUCGUGGUGUAGCGGUGAAAUGCUUAGAUAUCACGAAGAACUCCGAUUGCGAAGGCAGCUCACUGGACUGCAACUGACACUGAUGCUCGAAAGUGUGGGUAUCAAACAGGAUUA
This 761-nucleotide ribosomal RNA is filed under the name uncultured bacterium. Its description in RNAcentral is "bacterial SSU rRNA". It matches the Rfam family "Bacterial small subunit ribosomal RNA", at positions 29 to 780 of the family's 1533-position model. The record is from RNAcentral.